UCCUACGGGGCGCAGCAGUGGGGGAUAUUGGACAAUGGGGGGAACCCUGAUCCAGCGACGCCGCGUGAGUGAAGAAGUAUUUCGGUAUGUAAAGCUCUAUCAGCAGGGAAGAAAAUGACGGUACCUGACUAAGAAGCCCCGGCUAAAUACGUGCCAGCAGCCGCGGUAAUACGUAUGGGGCAAGCGUUAUCCGGAUUUACUGGGUGUAAAGGGAGCGUAGACGGCAGCGCAAGUCUGGAGUGAAAUACCGGGGCCCAACCCCGGGGCUGCAUUGGGAACUGCCAGGCUGGAGUGCCGGAGAGGCA
This 305-nucleotide ribosomal RNA is filed under the name uncultured bacterium. RNAcentral describes it as "bacterial SSU rRNA". It matches the Rfam family "Bacterial small subunit ribosomal RNA", at positions 337 to 659 of the family's 1533-position model. The record is from RNAcentral.